AGAGUUUGAUCCUGGCUCAGGACGAACGCUGGCGGCGUGCUUAACACAUGCAAGUCGAUCGGAAAGGCCCUUCGGGGUACUCGAGCGGCGAACGGGUGAGUAACACGUGAGUAACCUGCCCCUGACUCUGGGAUAAGCCCGGGAAACUGGGUCUAAUACCGGAUAUGACACCUCCUCGCAUGGGGUGGGUGUGGAAAGUUUUUCGGUUGGGGAUGGACUCGCGGCCUAUCAGCUUGUUGGUGGGGUAAUGGCCUACCAAGGCGACGACGGGUAGCCGGCCUGAGAGGGCGACCGGCCACACUGGGACUGAGACACGGCCCAGACUCCUACGGGAGGCAGCAGUGGGGAAUAUUGCGCAAUGGGCGAAAGCCUGACGCAGCGACGCCGCGUGGGGGAUGACGGCCUUCGGGUUGUAAACCUCUUUCAGCAGGGACGAAGUUGACGUGUACCUGCAGAAGAAGCGCCGGCUAACUACGUGCCAGCAGCCGCGGUAAUACGUAGGGCGCAAGCGUUGUCCGGAAUUAUUGGGCGUAAAGAGCUCGUAGGUGGCUUGUCACGUCGGGUGUGAAAGCUUGGGGCUUAACUCCAGGUCUGCAUUCGAUACGGGCUGGCUAGAGGUAGGUAGGGGAGAACGGAAUUCCUGGUGUAGCGGUGAAAUGCGCAGAUAUCAGGAGGAACACCGGUGGCGAAGGCGGUUCUUGGGCCUUACCUGACGCUGAGGAGCGAAAGCGUGGGGAGCGAACAGGAUUAGAUACCCUGGUAGUCCACGCUGUAAACGUUGGGCGCUAGGUGUGGGGACCUUCCACGGUUUCCGCGCCGUAGCUAACGCAUUAAGCGCCCCGCCUGGGGAGUACGGCCGCAAGGCUAAAACUCAAAGGAAUUGACGGGGGCCCGCACAAGCGGCGGAGCAUGUUGCUUAAUUCGACGCAACGCGAAGAACCUUACCAAGGCUUGACAUUGCCCGGAAACACUCAGAGAUGGGUGCCUCUUCGGAUCGGGUGACGGGUGGUGCAUGGCUGUCGUCAGCUCGUGUCGCGAGAUGUUGGGUUAAGUCCCGCAACGAGCGCAACCCUUGUUCAAUGUUGCCAGCACGCUCCUUCGGGGGUGGUGGGGACUCAUUGGAGACUGCCGGGGUCAACUCGGAGGAAGGUGGGGAUGACGUCAAGUCAUCAUGCCCCUUAUGUCUUGGGCUGCAAACAUGCUACAAUGGCCGGUACAGAGGGCUGCGAUACCGCAAGGUGGAGCGAAUCCCUAAAAGCCGGUCUCAGUUCGGAUUGGGGUCUGCAACUCGA
RNAcentral lists this ribosomal RNA (1292 nucleotides) under metagenome. RNAcentral describes it as "bacterial SSU rRNA". It matches the Rfam family "Bacterial small subunit ribosomal RNA", at positions 8 to 1315 of the family's 1533-position model. The record is from RNAcentral.